Molecule: ribosomal RNA, 829 nt
Filed under: Lentzea sp.
Lineage: Bacteria; Bacillati; Actinomycetota; Actinomycetes; Pseudonocardiales; Pseudonocardiaceae
Description: bacterial SSU rRNA
Rfam family: Bacterial small subunit ribosomal RNA
Source: RNAcentral
GCAAGUCGAGCGGUAAGGCCCUUCGGGGUACACGAGCGGCGAACGGGUGAGUAACACGUGGGUAACCUGCCCUGUACUCUGGGAUAAGCCUUGGAAACGAGGUCUAAUACCGGAUAUGACACUGAACUGCAUGGUUUGGUGUGGAAAGUUCCGGCGGUACAGGAUGGACCCGCGGCCUAUCAGCUUGUUGGUGGGGUAAUGGCCUACCAAGGCGACGACGGGUAGCCGGCCUGAGAGGGUGACCGGCCACACUGGGACUGAGACACGGCCCAGACUCCUACGGGAGGCAGCAGUGGGGAAUAUUGCACAAUGGGCGAAAGCCUGAUGCAGCGACGCCGCGUGAGGGAUGACGGCCUUCGGGUUGUAAACCUCUUUCAGCAGGGACGAAGCGCAAGUGACGGUACCUGCAGAAGAAGCACCGGCUAACUACGUGCCAGCAGCCGCGGUAAUACGUAGGGUGCGAGCGUUGUCCGGAAUUAUUGGGCGUAAAGAGCUCGUAGGCGGUUUGUCGCGUCGGCCGUGAAAACUUGGGGCUUAACUCCAAGCUUGCGGUCGAUACGGGCAGACUUGAGUUCGGCAGGGGAGACUGGAAUUCCUGGUGUAGCGGUGAAAUGCGCAGAUAUCAGGAGGAACACCGGUGGCGAAGGCGGGUCUCUGGGCCGACACUGACGCUGAGGAGCGAAAGCGUGGGGAGCGAACAGGAUUAGAUACCCUGGUAGUCCACGCCGUAAACGGUGGGUGCUAGGUGUGGGGGGCUUCCACGCCCUCUGUGCCGCAGCUAACGCAUUAAGCACCCCGCCUGGGGAGUACGGCCGCAAGGCUAAAACUC